GGUGAGACACAUCUGUUGACAGAAGCCUCCCGUGGAGCAGAAGGGCAAAAGCUCACUUGAUCUUGAUUUUCAGUACGAAUACAGACCGUGAAAGCGG
Molecule: non-coding RNA, 97 nt
Filed under: Pteropus alecto (black flying fox)
Lineage: Eukaryota; Metazoa; Chordata; Mammalia; Chiroptera; Pteropodidae
Source: Rfam by way of RNAcentral